RNAcentral lists this ribosomal RNA (253 nucleotides) under uncultured bacterium. Its description in RNAcentral is "partial 16S ribosomal RNA". It matches the Rfam family "Bacterial small subunit ribosomal RNA", at positions 524 to 776 of the family's 1533-position model. The record is from RNAcentral.
UACGGGGGGGGCAAGCGUUGUUCGGAAUUACUGGGCGUAAAGGGCUCGUAGGUGGCCAACUAAGUCAGACGUGAAAUCCCUCAGCUUAACUGGGGAACUGCGUCUGAUACUGGAUGGCUUGGAUUUGGGAGAGGAAUGCGGAAUUCCAGGUGUAGCGGUGAAAUGCGUAGAUAUCAUGAGGAAGACCAGUGGCGAAGGCGGGUCUCUGGACAGUUCCUGACACUAAGGCACGAAGGCCAGGGGAGCAAACGGG